AGUAACGCGUGAGGAACCUGCCUCAAAGAGGGGACAACAGUUGGAAACGACUGCUAAUACCGCAUAAGCCCACGGCUCGGCAUCGAGCAGAGGGAAAAGGAGUGAUCCGCUUUGAGAUGGCCUCGCGUCCGAUUAGCUAGUUGGUGAGGUAACGGCCCACCAAGGCGACGAUCGGUAGCCGGACUGAGAGGUUGAACGGCCACAUUGGGACUGAGACACGGCCCAG
RNAcentral lists this ribosomal RNA (226 nucleotides) under uncultured bacterium. RNAcentral's name for it is "partial 16S ribosomal RNA". It matches the Rfam family "Bacterial small subunit ribosomal RNA", at positions 109 to 334 of the family's 1533-position model. The record is from RNAcentral.